GCGCAGCAGUCGCGAAAUUUGGGCAAUGGCCGAAAGGCUGACCCAGCGACGCUGCGUGUGGGAUGAAGCCCUUCGGGGCGUAAACCACUUUUCAGAAGGACGAGGGUUCAUCCGGCGAAUACCCGGACGGAUUGACGGUACUUCUGGAAUAAGCUCUGGCUAACCCCGUGCCAGCAGCCGCGGUAAGACGGGGAGAGCAAGCGUUGCCCGGAAUCGAUUGGGCUUAAAGGGGGCGUAGGCGGUUAGGUGUGUCAGACGUGUAAACUAUCGGGCUCAACCGAUAGCCUGCGUUUGAAACUACCUAGCUCGAGGGCGAAAGAGGAGAGCGGAACUCCCGGUGUAGCGGUGAAAUGCGUAGAUA
Molecule: ribosomal RNA, 361 nt
Filed under: uncultured microorganism
Description: bacterial SSU rRNA
Rfam family: Bacterial small subunit ribosomal RNA
Source: RNAcentral